UACGUAGGGUGCAAGCGUUGUCCGGAAUUAUUGGGCGUAAAGAGCUCGUAGGCGGUCUGUCGCGUCGAAUGUGAAAACCCGGGGCUCAACCCCGGGCCUGCAUUCGAUACGGGCAGACUAGAGUUCGGUAGGGGAGUCUGGAACUUCCGGUGGAGCGGUGAAAUGCGUUGAGAUCGGAAGGAACGCCCGUGGCGAAAGCGAGAUCCUGGACGUCUUCUGACGCUGAGACGCGAAAGCUAGGGGAGCAAACGGG
Molecule: ribosomal RNA, 253 nt
Filed under: uncultured bacterium
Lineage: Bacteria
Description: partial 16S ribosomal RNA
Rfam family: Bacterial small subunit ribosomal RNA
Source: RNAcentral